This 1094-nucleotide long non-coding RNA is filed under the name Corvus moneduloides (New Caledonian crow). Its description in RNAcentral is "lncRNA (ENSCMUG00000017337.1)". The record is from RNAcentral. Lineage: Eukaryota; Metazoa; Chordata; Aves; Passeriformes; Corvidae.
AAUAAAAUAAAAUAAAAAAUAAAAUAAAAUAAAAUAGCAAAAGAAAAAAAAGAAAAAAAAACAGGAAAAAACCCAAAUCAAAUGAAACGAAAUAAAAUAAAUUAAAAUGGAAUAAAAUAAAAAUAAAAUAAAAAUUUUUAAAACCCAAAAGGAAAUAAAAUGGAAUGAAAUAAAAGAAAAAAAUUAACAAAAUACAGAAGAAGGAAUAACAAAAAAUUCAGGAGAGGACAGCGGGGCGGCUGUCAAGUUCUUCCCCCUCUUCUCUCCGGAGCCUCGACGACGGGAGGGGAAAAACGAUGUCCCCCCCCAAAAUAAUCCAAACCACCCCCGAGAAAUAAUAAUAACAAUAAUACUAAAGACCCCCCCAAAUCGCCCUCCGGCGCCUGCGGAGCGGCCCGGGAGCCGCCGGAGCGGCGGCCGCGCUGCUGGCGGGCUCUGCGGCAGCGGGCGCGGCGGGAGGGGUGCAUGAACCCCCCCCUGCAGCCGGCAGCCCCGGUGCCUCGCUGUGCUCCGCCGCCGCCGCGUCGCCACUCUCAUGCUGUCCCCAUCGCCAGCUUUGUCCCCCGCCUUAGUAAUUCGCGCAUCCUUAUUCAGAUUUGGUGACGUCGCGGGCCGCGUCACCCGGGAUGCGGCCAAUGGGAGGGCAGUAACCAUGGCAACCUCUUAAUUUAUAGCAUAUCUAAAUUGGCUCCAGCCUUGUGCUUGGCACAGAGGGAAAAAAACAACGCGCCUCUAUUGUUGAGGGUGGCUUGUACCUGGGCCGCGAAGGUAAUGCGUAGAGAAGCAGUGUCGCUUAUACAAGAUGUUGGAGGAAUUUACUAUAUUAUUAAAGGCAAAAAAAAAAAUCCCCUUUCAAGAAUAAAGUGUAUCAACUUACAACACAACAGACGGCAGAGGGAUAAGUGAAACAGACAAAAGACAAACAAGAUAAUAAUCUGUUUCCAAUCAGUUAAGCCCUGUAGAAUGUUGUAAUACGCGGUUUGCAUAUUCCCCCCGUGUUUUUGUAAUUAAUUAUCUAUCUGUCGGAUGCACCGCCGCCGACUUUGUGGAUAUUUCCAAGUAUUUUGGGGGUUGUAGGCGGUGAUCACGCCGGG